RNAcentral lists this long non-coding RNA (527 nucleotides) under Androctonus crassicauda. Lineage: Eukaryota; Metazoa; Arthropoda; Arachnida; Scorpiones; Buthidae. The record is from RNAcentral.
GUUAAUAUAUCUAUAGAAAUGGGUGAAUAUGUUACAAAUAUUUAUGGAAAGCUACGUAUACCCCAGUUGUCGUCCCGGCAUGGUCCCGGGACCCGUCUGCGUAUAAGCUUGUGGCAUUCAGGGCUUUAUUCCAUAGGGUCGUUACCCAUAUGACCAAUGUGUAAAUAAAGAGUAUGAGUGGCUGCAGAUUUUUAGUAUAGGGUAUAAAUAUGGCUACUCCUUUAAGUCCAUGAACUGGAUAUGGACUAAAGUUCAAGAUAGUUUCUUCAAGAAACAAUCGAAUGAUCCCUCAGAUGCUAUGCCGGAUAGGCUGCUAUAUCAUUGUGUUGUUCCGUACGAUGGCAAGGUAGAACGCACCCUUUGUAGUGCCUUAAAACAUAUACCAUGUAAGAUCAUUAAUAAGAGAGGUCAGCAUUUCAAAUCCUCCAUAACGACAAGGACUCCAUAUCUAAUGAUAGAAAGGCUGGUAUUUAUAAUAUUCCUAUCUAUAAUAAAGAUGAUAAUUGCACUCAGACAUAUAUAGGCAG